This 774-nucleotide ribosomal RNA is filed under the name uncultured Neocallimastigales. RNAcentral describes it as "partial large subunit ribosomal RNA". It matches the Rfam family "Eukaryotic large subunit ribosomal RNA", at positions 25 to 631 of the family's 3401-position model. Lineage: Eukaryota; Fungi; Neocallimastigomycota; Neocallimastigomycetes; Neocallimastigales. The record is from RNAcentral.
ACACUGACGUCGCGACGCAUAUCAAUAAGCGGAGGAAAAGAAACUAACAAGGAUUCCCUUAGUAACGGCGAGUGAAGCGGGAAGAGCUCAAAUUUGAAAUCUUCAAGGUUCUACCUUGACGAAUUGUAGUUUAAAGAAGUGUUUUCUGUUAGAUGAGUAGCAAAAGUUCCUUGGAAUGGGACAUCAUAGAGGGUGAGAAUCCCGUAUUUGGUUAUUCAUUCUAGCUUUGUGAUACACUUUCAAAGAGUCGGAUUGUUUGGGAAUGCAGUCCAAAAUGGGUGGUAAAUUUCAUCUAAAGCUAAAUAUUGGCGAGAGACCGAUAGCGAACAAGUACCGUGAGGGAAAGAUGAAAAGAACUUUGAAAAGAGAGUUAAACAGUACGUGAAAUUGUCAAAAGGGAAGCGUUUGACACCAGUGUUGUUUUUCCGAAAAUCAAUUACGAAUGGCUUGAUUUUGUGUUGUAUUGACCUUAUCAGCUUUCUGCACUUUUUUCGAGUCUUUCUUAAUGCACUUUUCGGUUAACAAGUCAACAUCAAUUUCUUUUGUUGUAAAAGAGUAUUCGGAAGGUGGCUUUCUUUUCGGAGAAAGUGUUUAUAGCCCUAUACUUCUACAAUCGGAGAGAUUGAGGUCUGCAGCGUAGAUCCUUCGGGGUUAGAUACACUUGUGCUAAGUUAUAGCUUUUCAUAGACAACUUGUUGACUAUGUUUAGUCUUGUAGCUUACUCGCUUGUGCUAUUUUACCUACGCUUAGGAUGUUGAGUCGUAGAGCACGCAG